UUUUUUUUUUUCUUUUUCAAUUUUUUUCCUCUUAUGUAAUUACUAUUUCUUCUUUCUUUAUCUUUUUUCACAAGAUAUUAAAUAUUUCUUCAAGUUAUUUAUACAUCAAAUUUAUUUUUCUUAAGAAAAAAAAUUUUAAUAUAAAAACACAAGUUAAAUAUUGAAUAUUAUCUACCCGCAAUAUCGUGCGGGUCACUGCACUAUAU
RNAcentral lists this long non-coding RNA (206 nucleotides) under Ananas comosus (pineapple). Its description in RNAcentral is "long non-coding RNA (ACOM_LNC010035)". The record is from RNAcentral. Lineage: Eukaryota; Viridiplantae; Streptophyta; Magnoliopsida; Poales; Bromeliaceae.